AGGGUUUGAUCCUGGCUCAGAUUGAACGCUGGCGGCAGGCCUAACACAUGCAAGUCGAGCGGUAGAGAGAAGCUUGCUUCUCUUGAGAGCGGCGGACGGGUGAGUAAUGCCUAGGAAUCUGCCUGGUAGUGGGGGAUAACGUUCGGAAACGGACGCUAAUACCGCAUACGUCCUACGGGAGAAAGCAGGGGACCUUCGGGCCUUGCGCUAUCAGAUGAGCCUAGGUCGGAUUAGCUAGUUGGUGAGGUAAUGGCUCACCAAGGCGACGAUCCGUAACUGGUCUGAGAGGAUGAUCAGUCACACUGGAACUGAGACACGGUCCAGACUCCUACGGGAGGCAGCAGUGGGGAAUAUUGGACAAUGGGCGAAAGCCUGAUCCAGCCAUGCCGCGUGUGUGAAGAAGGUCUUCGGAUUGUAAAGCACUUUAAGUUGGGAGGAAGGGUUGUAGAUUAAUACUCUGCAAUUUUGACGUUACCGACAGAAUAAGCACCGGCUAACUCUGUGCCAGCAGCCGCGGUAAUACAGAGGGUGCAAGCGUUAAUCGGAAUUACUGGGCGUAAAGCGCGCGUAGGUGGUUUGUUAAGUUGGAUGUGAAAUCCCCGGGCUCAACCUGGGAACUGCAUUCAAAACUGACUGACUAGAGUAUGGUAGAGGGUGGUGGAAUUUCCUGUGUAGCGGUGAAAUGCGUAGAUAUAGGAAGGAACACCAGUGGCGAAGGCGACCACCUGCACUAAUACUGACACUGAGGUGCGAAAGCGUGGGGGAGCAAACAGGAU
Molecule: ribosomal RNA, 776 nt
Filed under: uncultured Gammaproteobacteria bacterium
Lineage: Bacteria; Pseudomonadati; Pseudomonadota; Gammaproteobacteria
Description: bacterial SSU rRNA
Rfam family: Bacterial small subunit ribosomal RNA
Source: RNAcentral